RNAcentral lists this ribosomal RNA (253 nucleotides) under uncultured bacterium. RNAcentral describes it as "partial 16S ribosomal RNA". It matches the Rfam family "Bacterial small subunit ribosomal RNA", at positions 524 to 776 of the family's 1533-position model. The record is from RNAcentral.
UACGUAGGGUGCAAGCGUUGUCCGGAAUUAUUGGGCGUAAAGAGCUCGUAGGCGGUCUGUCGCGUCUGCUGUGAAAACUCAGGGCUUAACCCUGAGCUUGCAGUGGGUACGGGCAGACUAGAGUGCGGUAGGGGAGACUGGAAUUCCUGGUGUAGCGGUGAAAUGCGCAGAUAUCAGGAGGAACACCGGUGGCGAAGGCGGGGCUCUGGGAAUAUCCUGACGCUGAGGAGCGAAAGUGUGGGGAGCGAACAGG